RNAcentral lists this transfer RNA (91 nucleotides) under Candidatus Colivicinus equi. RNAcentral describes it as "tRNA-Ser". It matches the Rfam family "tRNA". From Rfam's summary of the family: Transfer RNA (tRNA) molecules are approximately 80 nucleotides in length. Their secondary structure includes four short double-helical elements and three loops (D, anti-codon, and T loops). Further hydrogen bonds mediate the characteristic L-shaped molecular structure. tRNAs have two regions of fundamental functional importance: the anti-codon, which is responsible for specific mRNA codon recognition, and the 3' end, to which the tRNAs corresponding amino acid is attached (by aminoacyl-tRNA synthetases). tRNAs cope with the degeneracy of the genetic code in two manners: having more than one tRNA (with a specific anti-codon) for a particular amino acid; and 'wobble' base-pairing, i.e. permitting non-standard base-pairing at the 3rd anti-codon position. The record is from RNAcentral. Lineage: Bacteria; Bacillati; Bacillota; Erysipelotrichia; Erysipelotrichales; Erysipelotrichaceae.
GGAGACGUAUCGAAGUGGUCAUAACGAGCCUGACUCGAAAUCAGGUUGCCGGGUAACCGACACGUGGGUUCAAAUCCCACCGUCUCCGCCA